AAACCAGCACCUCAAGUGGUCAGGAUGAUUAUUGGGCCUAAAGCAUCCGUAGCCGGCUCUGUAAGUUUUCGGAUAAAUCUGUACGCUUAACGUACAGGCUGCUGGGAAUACUGCAGAGCUAGGGAGUGGGAGAGGUAGACGGUACUCGGGAGGAAGUGGUAAAAUGCUUUGAUCUCUCGAUGACCACCUGUGGCGAAGGCGGUCUACCAGAACACGUCCGACGGUGAGGGAUGAAAGCUGGGGGAGCAAACCGGAUUAGAAACCCGAGUAGUCC
This 274-nucleotide ribosomal RNA is filed under the name uncultured bacterium. Its description in RNAcentral is "partial 16S ribosomal RNA". It matches the Rfam family "Archaeal small subunit ribosomal RNA", at positions 473 to 747 of the family's 1478-position model. The record is from RNAcentral.